Molecule: transfer RNA, 60 nt
Filed under: Nembrotha kubaryana
Lineage: Eukaryota; Metazoa; Mollusca; Gastropoda; Nudibranchia; Polyceridae
Description: tRNA-Tyr
Source: RNAcentral
AUUUUGGUGGCUGAAUGAUAGGCGAUAAAUUGUAAAUUUAUUUAUGACUAACUGUCCCUU